Molecule: transfer RNA, 71 nt
Filed under: Ictidomys tridecemlineatus (thirteen-lined ground squirrel)
Lineage: Eukaryota; Metazoa; Chordata; Mammalia; Rodentia; Sciuridae
Description: Spermophilus tridecemlineatus (thirteen-lined ground squirrel) tRNA
Rfam family: tRNA
About the family: Transfer RNA (tRNA) molecules are approximately 80 nucleotides in length. Their secondary structure includes four short double-helical elements and three loops (D, anti-codon, and T loops).
Source: Rfam by way of RNAcentral
GGGAUUGUGGCUCAGUGGUAGAGUGCUUACCUUGCAUGUAUGAGCACUGGGUUCGAUCCUCAGCACCACCU